Long non-coding RNA from Sinocyclocheilus anshuiensis, 1147 nucleotides. RefSeq lists it as uncharacterized. The transcript has 3 exons. Lineage: Eukaryota; Metazoa; Chordata; Actinopteri; Cypriniformes; Cyprinidae. The record is from RefSeq and is a predicted model, not a curated record.
UCCAGUCAGCAAGCCGGAGGAAUCAGAGCCCGUCACUUCAAUCAAGCUUACAAGCACAAGCUGUGCACAAUGAAUUUAUAAUGCCAAGAUCAGAGGAGCAAAAUCACACCAGAAGAGCAAGGGAGAGUGAAACGGGGAGAGAGAUGGAGAGUGUGUGGGAGAGCAUGUCGGCCUUGGGGUUACCUGGAUACACCUGGGGGAGAUGAUAAAGGUCUUAAUGGAGCCAGGUCUCAGUUAAGGACAAAUGCAUUCAUUGUGUAUUUCUACAUCUUCAAAUCAAGCUAUGCUGUUUCCAUGGUGUGGACCGCACCCUGCAGCACUUUCUGUGACAUUUCAAAUAGGUGUUUCGAGACUGACUGAGGGGAAAAUAUUUGAUCGCUUAUCUGUGCAUGCUUCUCAUCACUUAAUCUUAGAAUUUGCAUAUGUAUGUGUGUGAAUAUCUGUAUGUGCCUGUGUGUGUGUGUGUGUGUGUGUGUUUGCAUAGUGAGCAUUUAGCAUCAGUUAGCAGACAAUAGCCUCACAAACACACUCACACAUACACCCCCUAUAGCACUGUUUGAUCAAAUUUAACCCAGGCCCAUUUGACCUCCACCUUCCCUAUGACCUCGAGCAAACUCCUUGGGGAGAUGAAGGCUAAGGUGUGUGUUUGUAUGCCUUGAUGUCUGACUAAGAAGUAAACGCUGAUGGUCAAACACAUCCCUUUUUUCUUUCACUCUCUGUCUACUCACUUCCAAAUCCACCCCAAUCCAUUCCUCUCCUCCACCCACCUUAAAAAAAGGAAAAUAAUUAUUUUAUGGCUCAAGAGAUAAAAUGGGAAUUUACGUACUUAUGGAUCUGUUGGAUAUCUGGAAAAUUACACUGAUAUAAAUAAUUACACUCAGUUUGAUGAGUCCCUGCACCUUUAAUUUUUUUCAAGUCUGCUCACAGAUGAUGAAAUGAAGGCAGCGAGUGACAUAAAUCUCCUAAACAUAAAACUCCAGUACAAAUCAGAACAUGGAUUUUAUUUGAUCUAUGUCAACAGUGGAUAGUCUGCAAAAACCUGGUUUAUUUUUUCAGUUUUGUUUUUUACAAACCACCUAAUCUCUGUUUAUGAACACUGCCAUUAUUCAAUGUGAACAGUGCUUGUUGAUCUGUAAACCCUUUUACU